AUAACAACCUCUGGAGUCAAACAUAACCGCGCAAAUCAUCCAUGUAGAUUGUUGAUCAUCAGGUGUAUCUUCACACAAUAUGUUUGAAUAUGUUCGAGUGCUUCCCGAAAUCCCAAGUGCUUCUCGAGUACUACAUGAUGAUUGUAGAGGCUGUGGAUGGCUCUGAAUAAAGAAAAAAGAUAGGUGUAGCCUGACUCUAUGUUUAAAUGCGAAACAAUUAAAUAUAGAAUCUAAUAAAGACUAUAUGGAAGUUUAGGUGCAUCUUUCGAUGCACCUAAUAGGUGUAGCCCUGACUCUAUGCUUAAAUGUGAAAUAGUUAAACAUAUAGUCUAAAGACUAUUAUCCAAAGGCAUACUUGAAAUGAAAUAUUGAGUAUCCUGACUCGAGCAGUUCUGGUCCGAGUGCUUAUGAACCCGAGUGGUACCAGCUCAGGUUGUUCUCUCCUGAGCGAUUUGAACUCAAAUGGUUUGGUGAUAAAUAAAUAAUGUGUAUCCUCAAACAGAUAAUUGAAAAACUACCUUGCCUAAGGAGUAGAUAACGUUGUUUCAGCAUAAUCGUUACAACUGAGUAGUUAGCACCGAGUGCACUUUUGCUUACUCAAGUUUUAGGCACAGGCUUAAAUGGCGCAUUAAAUGCCUUGGGUGUAAUCGAACAAUAUAUGUGUAAAAAAUAGCCGUUGGCCUGUUUUUGAUACCCAAAAUUGUAGGAAAUUACGAAAUUUAUGUUAUCGUUUAGGCUAAUCAUAAAACCGUAGUUUCUAUUUGACAUGGUAUUGAGUGCGCCAGCACUGGGCUUUAAGCACCGGCCCGCUAGACCCACGAAGGACACAACAACACUUAGACGUUGUUUGGAGAAUCGAGAAUAUUAAUUGGGCUGUAGCUUUCUCGAGAAUAUUAAUUGGGCUGUAGCUCUACAGACCGGUAGAGCAUCCCCAACAACUCAUCUAAAUUUGGUCAUCCAUAUCUUUAUUUGGAUGAUCAUUUAAAACACUUUCAUCCUUCGUAUCCCUUUAUACUACAGCAGAUCAUCUAUAUAUGACAUCUUCUAUAUCUAUUUGGAGGAUUGGAGAGAAAAUAUCUAGAUAUAGAGUUUCUCUCUCCUAAUAUGGAUGACAUCCAAAAAUAGAUGAUGAGAUAAAGGUUCUGCUGUAACUUAACUUUUACUCUUCAUUCUAUAUUUCUAAAAUAGAGGACGAGAUAAAUGAACGGUCGGAGAUGCUCUUGGACCCAGGAAGCCGAAGAGCCACGGUCUUUAUAUCUUUGUCGUUGUCGCUCCAUCUUCUUCCCCUCGCCUUUGUCGUUCAUCCCGCCAUUCUCUCUCUUCAACCCCGUCGCCGUUUAGUCUCCCUCCAACCCAAGGCCGCCUUGCGCUUGGUGACCUUGCUUCCGCAGCCAGCCAACUCCCCGCUGCCUAGCUCCACCAUCUAAUUUGAGAUCCGUUAGGGUUUUAGCAUCCAAUUGACGUCUCCGAAGGAUUCUGGGAAGGAACUCCCCCUCGCAGCGUGGCAAACCUCCAUGUUCAUCUUCUCCCCUUGUACUUACUGCCAAAAAAAUUUGAUAGACUUCCUCCCCUCUUCGGAAUAGAAAUAGACUAUUUCUACAUAGGGAAAGUCGUGUGCAAUGAAAAAUACAAGCAUGAUUUAGCGAGGGGUUUUUUCUCUAAUGUAACCAGAAAUAAUUAUCUACUCCAUCCGAUUCAUCAGACUGUUCCGGGUUCGAGUCCCGGGCAACCCAUAUAGAAAGGACAUGCAUCAUCACGUUCUUCUCAGUAGACAGCAUGAGCCCAAAUCUUCUGCGUGUCGAUCAACAAAUAGCGCAAGUCUACCUAGCCUGAUCACUUCCGCUGCAGCAUGCUUCCGUUCCCUGCCCCUGCGUGUCCCGUGCUCUGCCUAACCAUGGUACCGCGAGCUCUCCCAGUAGCUAGCUCCGCCUUUGACGCCAUAAACGCGACCACAUCGGCGUUCUGCGAGCCGGCGAAGUGUGGGAACCUCACCAUCGGCUACCCAUUCUGGCUCGCGGGCGCACAUCUGGCGGAGUGCGGCUACAGAACUUUUAACCAUGGAAACGCUUCCCUCAAGAAAGAAUUCUGGACGUACCAAAUCCAGCGCAUCUUCUACCACAACAGCUCAUUCAGAGUCACCACCAAGGCGCUCGAGUGCAGCGGAACGGCGUGUCGCUGGCGUUCAUCUGUGGUAAGCUCGUUUAUAAGCUGCCGUUUCCUGGCAGAAAUUGAGCCAUAAGGUGUGGAAGUUUUGUGAAUUUCUUUGGAAGCCCAGCAUUCCAAAUAAGCCGUACACAUUUCCUUACCCAGGCACCCAGCAGCUGUUGUCCUAGCUAAUCACUUUAUAGUCAAAAUUUUAAUACCUCAAGUCUCAAGAUACAGAGUAACUGGAGAUAUUAAAUUUUACAUUAAAAAUAUGAUAUGUCCCGGUGUUUUCUCAAAUAUGAUAAAAUUGAUCUAUUUUAAAUAAAAGAUUUUUUCUAAAUUCCCAAAAGAAUUGAAUUUUCAAACAUCUGGCAGCACUUCUGUCAGAAGAAGGUUCAUGGUCACAAGAAAAGCAAAUGAAAUAAUAGAGUAGUUAUCCACACAGAAAUUCUAAUUCAGACAAGACGGCCUACAUAUGACCGUUCAUUAUCCCUUGUAUCCAACAUGGGUUACGAAGAAUUACUUCAUCAGUCAAAUGAUUAGUUCACUAACUCGAAGAUAUGGAUAGAUCAUAUACAGAAUGUCAAACUUCAAACAUAAUACUUCAUUUCUUUAGGACAACAUCAAAUAUUCUUCACUUGAUAUUACUUUUGUUAAUUAAGUGUGUGUUAUUGCAGGAAGCAGGAAAAAGACCAGGAAGGUCAUACUAAUAGGUAUGCUAAAAACAUUUACCGUUGAAUCGUAAGUUAAAAAAAUUAAGCAAUCAUAUCCAUAAUUUAUGUAAUCUUAUGUCGUUCUGUUCAAAAUUUUAAAACCUAGUAUUGAAUGUGACACAACCUAGUAGUACGAGUAUGGACAUAUUCACUAAAUUUUAAAUAUUUUGAGAUGGAUGUAGUGUAAUACUGGUUGGUUUGGAUUAAAUUUCUAUCCAUUUUUCCUUGUAGAUUUUGUCACCUUACACUUUUAUGAUUAAUAUGAAAAUCCAGUGAUGUUCAUUCAAAUUAAAUGGUCAUAGUAUAACAUUAUGAAUCUAUAAAAUGAAAUAACAUGUGCUUUAAUCUCAGUUUCGACAGCAGCAGCUGCAAGCUUGCUCUUACCAUGUAUAUAUGUGCUCGUAUGGCAUAGGGAGGGGAAAAAACUACGGUAUGUCCUGUGCACAAAGGCUAGCAGCACCAGUGAAAAGAACAUUGAGAACCUAAUAGUAUCUUAUGGAUCCCUAGCUCCAAAAAGAUACAAGUACUCAGAGGUCACGAAGAUAACAUCAUUUCUUAAUAAUAAGCUUGGAGAAGGAGGUUAUGGUGUCGUAUUCAAAGGAAGGUUACAGGAUGGUCGUCUAGUUGCUGUGAAAUUCCUACGUGAUUCAGAAGGAAAUGGAGAGGAGUUUGUGAAUGAAGUCAUGAGCAUUGGAAGGACCUCUCAUGUCAAUGUUGUCAGCUUAUUUGGGUUUUGUCUGGAGGGCUCAAAACGAGCUCUUCUUUAUGAGUACAUGUCCAAUGGUUCUCUAGACAAUUACAUUUACUCAGAAAGUCUCAAGGAAAUUCUGGGAUGGGACAAACUUUACAGAAUAGCAAUCGGAAUUGCUCGUGGGCUAGAAUACUUGCACCAUGGUUGUAAUACACGAAUCGUCCAUUUUGAUAUAAAGCCUCAGAAUAUCCUUCUAGAUCAGGAUUUUUGCCCAAAGAUUGCUGAUUUUGGUUUAGCUAAAUUAUGCCAAACCAAAGAAAGCAAGCUUACAAUGACAGGUGCUAGAGGAACAAUUGGAUUCAUCGCUCCUGAAGUUAUCUAUCGAACCUUUGGAAUAGUUUCAACAAAGUCAGAUGUGUAUAGUUAUGGAAUGAUGUUGCUAGAGAUGGUCGGAGGCCGAAAAAAUGUCAAACAGAUGGUUGAAAAUUCUAGUGAGAAGUAUUUUCCAGAUUGGAUUUAUGACCACUUUGCUCUAGAUGAUGGACUACAAGCUUGUGAAGUCACAGGUGAGGUUCAGGAAAUUGCAAAAAAGAUGAUUUUAAUUGGCUUGUGGUGUGUUCAAGUAGUACCUAUGCAUCGCCCAACAAUGACCCAGGUUUUAGAUAUGUUUGAGAGAGGUUUGGAUGAACUGGAAAUGCCACCGAAGCAAAAUUUCUGUGAAUUACUGUAAGAUAACUUCUCUACACAUUCUAACAUGGACUGGUAAUAUUUUCAAUGAUGCUCAUCUAGCUAUUUGCACUUUUCAGAGAACAUCCGAUUCAAAUGCGGAAUACAGACAGCACAAGUUGUGCUAGAAGUUCCAAAGAUGCCCAAGCUGUUAGCGAAGUGCUAAAGGUUGAGGAGAUAAGCUUAGUGAAUUCAGAAAAUACUAUAGGGACUACCAACUCUGCGAAAAGAUGAACCUACAGCAUUAAGAAAUUAAGACACCAGGAUCGGAUUUUGACAUUAUAUCACAACACAUUAACGGAAUUUCUUAGUGUGUUUAAGGCAUUUGAAUCUAAGCUAUUGCCGUUUCAAUCUUUCAUGUUUUAGUAAUGAUGUGGCUACGGCCAUGGCUGCAAUAUCUGUAAGAUUUAAUUGGGUAAUUGAUCUAUUUAAAUCAAUUAAAUCAAAUAAUUUUCAAGGAUCAUUAUGCUAAGAGUUAUAUGUGUUACAUACCUCAUGGGUAAUCAAGGAGAAUGUGACAAGUUUUGAGAAGUAAUCCAAGGAUUGGUUAUGGAAUAAUAACUAAUGUCAAUUAUAUAUAAUUCAUGGUUGGUUCACGGUGGAGUAGUGGAGUAUGGUUAAUGGAUGAUUAAUGAUAAAUUACUCUACUCUCUUUGUCUCCAUAUUCCAUGAGUUCCUUCCUAUUUAUCUUCCAUUCCUCCUAUAAAAGGAGAAUGGAUCUGAUCUCCCAUGCACGUAGAAAACAAAGAAAUACAUGUCCACCUUAGUUGUUACCUGGUUUUUCCAUCCCAUUGUUUGGGUGCACAUGCGCCAGGAGAGCGGGCCUCUGCCUCCCUGAUCUUGCACUGAGAGGAGAAGGUGAAUCAAGUUUUUGGGGAACACACUACGCGACUGCUCACUGAUUCACUAUUAUAUCCUCUUCACCAUGGCUACCGGCGACAACAUCAAUAUCAACACUGACAACAGGAGCGGCAACAGUGGCAAUGGUAGCGGCUCUAGAAAGGGAACAUCAACGGCAAUGGUGUUUCUAGCUCUACUUCUGUUGUAGUUGCACCAUCUGUUUUCUUCACCUUCUCAAUUAAUGUUUUGAUUACUUUGCUUCUAUACACAAAUGAGAUAGACAUGCAUGUUCCUUCUAUUUUCAAAUGGUGCAUGUCUAUUUGGUUUAUCUCUUGUGUUGAGAGUAAAUUGUUUUCUAUAGUCUAUAUUAUCUUUAUGAUUUACGUUGUUUAUUUCUGGAUUAAGUCUUAAGGAAAAUUGCUAAUAUUUCCAACAAUAUCUAGCAUUGACAGUCAGUCCUUUCUACUUACUCUUUACAUACUACGGAAGGUCCAAUGAGCCAAUAGCCAAUUAACCAAAAACUUAUUCAAAACAAUGACUAUCAGCUUGAGCUUAUUUAGUUUUGUACUUGAACUAAUUUAAUUCUUCAUCUCAGAAACGGGUAACCUAUCUUUUUGCUUCUGCAACACAUCAAAACCCAAAUAGUCAGAAGUCAGGACUGACAGAAAAUCAACCAAAUGCUAAUGUUCACCUUCAUACCACCAUAAGGUUGGGUGCACAACAGAGCAGCAUCUUGAAUUCUUGAUCACAAACACUGGGUACGGUUGAUAUACGCGUGGCAACAGUUUACAACGAAGUGACAAAAUUACCACAUUUUCCACUUCCCAAAUUGAUCUACCCGCAACAACUAGCAUAAAUCACACCAUCACAGUGCCAAAAAUUUCAAGGGAAAGUACUACACAAUCAAAGAGUAGGUUACCUGAUGGUUUCCUCGGAGGAAACAAAGAAGAAGCAGGCACCUGUUCCAGUCUAAGCCUCUGGGCCAAAAUCCUGAACCUCACUAGCACUCACUGCAAUCUCACUCCGGCGCAUCUGCUCGACCAAUGCCUCGCUCAACGCGGCAAGUCCAGGCAGGACGCCGCCAUCUCCACAAUGCUUGUGCUGUAACCCAUCCCCAAAUCCGCCGCCGCCAGCGCGGCCGGGGCUGAGACUAGUGCUGUACGGAGGCUUCCUCCAUGCCCACAGCCGAGCGGACGGUGUUUGCUGCUGCGGCUCUCGACCGCAGUCCUACAGCGCCGCCGCCGUCGACGCGCCGCCGCCGCGAAGAACAAGGGCAGCACGGGCGAUGGUAUCACUGAUGGGCCC
Molecule: long non-coding RNA, 6420 nt
Filed under: Oryza brachyantha (malo sina)
Lineage: Eukaryota; Viridiplantae; Streptophyta; Magnoliopsida; Poales; Poaceae
Description: long non-coding RNA (OBRA_LNC000014)
Source: RNAcentral